Molecule: ribosomal RNA, 431 nt
Filed under: uncultured archaeon
Lineage: Archaea
Description: bacterial SSU rRNA
Rfam family: Archaeal small subunit ribosomal RNA
Source: RNAcentral
UACCUGCAGCUCAAGUGGUGACCGCUAUUAUUGGGCCUAAAACGUUCGUAGCCGGCUGAGUAAAUGCUUGGGUAAAUCGUGCCGCUUAACGGUACGAAUUCCGGGUAGACUGCUCAGCUUGAGACCGGGAGAAGCUAGAGGUACUCCUAGGGUAGAGGUGAAAUUCUGUAAUCCUGGGUGGACCACCAGUGGCGAAGGCGUCUAGCUAGAACGGGUCUGACGGUGAGGGACGAAACCCUGGGGCGCAAACCGGAUUAGAUACCCGGGUAGUCCAGGGCGCAAACGCUGCUUGCUUGAUGUUAGUUGGGCUCCGGGCUCAGCUAGUGUCGGAGAGAAGUUGUUAAGCAAGCUGCCUGGGAAGUACGAUCGCAAGAUUAGAAAACUUAAAGGAAUUGGCGGGGGAGCACAGCAACGGGUGGAGCGUGCGGUUU